UCUUUCUUCUUUCUUGCCUGUUAAACUUUUUACUUCUUAACGACCACUCCACAUGUGUCUGUGUCAUUACUCCUAAUGGCACAAAACUAAGGACUCUGGUGUUCCUGCAGUCAUGGAAGCUGCAUCACUAUGAGAAGUUGAUAUGGGAAAUGAAGUACCUCUGACUCCUUGAAAUAAAUUACAACCCUAGAGACUUUAGAAGACUGUCUAGGUUCCAGUUUUGUUAACCAGAAAAUAAGAAUGGCUUUGCCCACUAAUCAACAUCUCUUGACAAG
Molecule: long non-coding RNA, 275 nt
Filed under: Homo sapiens (human)
Lineage: Eukaryota; Metazoa; Chordata; Mammalia; Primates; Hominidae
Description: HSALNT0080225
Source: RNAcentral